This 533-nucleotide long non-coding RNA is filed under the name Pan troglodytes (chimpanzee). RNAcentral's name for it is "lncRNA (ENSPTRG00000052973.1)". The record is from RNAcentral. Lineage: Eukaryota; Metazoa; Chordata; Mammalia; Primates; Hominidae.
AUUAGUCAAUUUAUGUUUCAAUAAUUCUGCAUAGUAGUCUCCAAAAUCUCAGUAGCUUACAACACCAGCAUUUUUUUUUCCUUUUCUUUUUUUUUUGUUUUUUGGUACACAGAUCUGUGGAGUGGCUGCAGCACCUGUGUUUCAGCCUGAAGAAUGGGCACAGCUACUGAGUGAUGAUGUUCUUUCUAUACAUCCCAAGCGUUCUGUACAUCUAUGCAUCCCAAGUGCAUCAAGAUGGACCAGGUUGUCAGCAUGUUCAGAGUAAACAUGAAGAUUUAUGAUGUGCAUCUAAUGCCUGGUUUGGGGUCUGCACCAUGUUGGAGUCCAAGACUCAAGUGGGCUUUCCUGGAUAUUUCAUGAUUCUGAAGAAGAAUUGGAGGUGAGACUUGAGAAAAUGGAGAAAAAGAUUGUUGCAGAGGCUUCCUAAUUUGGUGGUUUCCUAAAUCAGAGGAAAGAACUUCUCAAUCACAGCAGACGCAGUGAGAUUGCAGGUAGUUGGAGCUAUAUGUAGGAGUCUAUUCUUCUAAAAUCCU